Molecule: ribosomal RNA, 475 nt
Filed under: Prevotella melaninogenica
Lineage: Bacteria; Pseudomonadati; Bacteroidota; Bacteroidia; Bacteroidales; Prevotellaceae
Description: bacterial SSU rRNA
Rfam family: Bacterial small subunit ribosomal RNA
Source: RNAcentral
GAUGAACGCUAGCUACAGGCUUAACACAUGCAAGUCGAGGGGAAACGGCAUUGAGUGCUUGCACUCUUUGGACGUCGACCGGCGCACGGGUGAGUAACGCGUAUCCAACCUUCCCAUUACUGUGGGAUAACCUGCCGAAAGGCAGACUAAUACCGCAUAGUCUUCGAUGACGGCAUCAGAUUUGAAGUAAAGAUUUAUCGGUAAUGGAUGGGGAUGCGUCUGAUUAGCUUGUUGGCGGGGUAACGGCCCACCAAGGCGACGAUCAGUAGGGGUUCUGAGAGGAAGGUCCCCCACAUUGGAACUGAGACACGGUCCAAACUCCUACGGGAGGCAGCAGUGAGGAAUAUUGGUCAAUGGACGGAAGUCUGAACCAGCCAAGUAGCGUGCAGGAUGACGGCCCUAUGGUUGUGAACUGCUUUUGUAUGGGGAUAAAGUUAGGGACGUGUCCCUAUUUGCAGGUACCAUACGAAUAAGG